AUUGAACGCUGGCGGAAUGCUUUACACAUGCAAGUCGAGCGGCAGCGCGGGGGCAACCCUGGCGGCGAGCGGCGAACGGGUGAGUAAUGUAUCGGAACGUACCCAGUCGUGGGGGAUAACUAUCCGAAAGGAUAGCUAAUACCGCAUACGACCUGAGGGUGAAAGCGGGGGACCGUAAGGCCUCGCGCGAUUGGAGCGGCCGAUAUCGGAUUAGCUAGUUGGUGAGGUAAAGGCUCACCAAGGCGACGAUCCGUAGCUGGUCUGAGAGGACGACCAGCCACACUGGAACUGAGACACGGUCCAGACUCCUACGGGAGGCAGCAGUGGGGAAUUUUGGACAAUGGGGGGCAACCCUGAUCCAGCCAUUCCGCGUGAGUGAAGAAGGCC
This 387-nucleotide ribosomal RNA is filed under the name uncultured bacterium. Its description in RNAcentral is "bacterial SSU rRNA". It matches the Rfam family "Bacterial small subunit ribosomal RNA", at positions 29 to 416 of the family's 1533-position model. The record is from RNAcentral.